AAUUAACGCUGGCAGAGUGCAUAACACAUGCAAGUCGAGCGAAACUAGUAGCAAUAUUAGUUUAGCGGCAGACGAGUGAGUAACACGUAAAGGAUCUACCCUUGAAUGGCGAACAACCAAUCGAAAGGCUGGCUAAUACGCCGUACUCUCCCUUGAAGGCAUCUUCGAGGGAGGAGAGAUCCGCAAGGAUCGUUCUUGGAGGACUUUGCGGCCCAUCAGCUAGUUGGCGGUGUAAUAGACCACCAAGGCUACGACGGGUACCCGGCCUGAAAGGGCGGACGGGCACGAUGGGCACUGAGACACGGGCCAUACUCCUACGGGAGGCAGCAGUGGGGAAUUUUUGGACAAUGGGCGAAAGCCUGAUCCAGCAACUCUGCGUGAGGGAUGAAGGUCUUCGGAUCGUAAACCUC
Molecule: ribosomal RNA, 410 nt
Filed under: uncultured bacterium
Lineage: Bacteria
Description: bacterial SSU rRNA
Rfam family: Bacterial small subunit ribosomal RNA
Source: RNAcentral